GUAGCUCAGUUGGUUAGAGCGCCGCCCUGUCACGGCGGAGGCCGCGAGUUCAAGUCUCGUC
Molecule: transfer RNA, 61 nt
Filed under: Zetaproteobacteria bacterium
Lineage: Bacteria; Pseudomonadati; Pseudomonadota; Candidatius Mariprofundia
Description: tRNA-Asp
Rfam family: tRNA
About the family: Transfer RNA (tRNA) molecules are approximately 80 nucleotides in length.
Source: RNAcentral